CUCGGUAGUUCAAGCANUAUGGAACAACCCGUUACCAUUCCGAACACGGAAGUUAAACAUUUUAGCGCUGACGAUACUGCAUUUAUGUGGGAAAAUAAGUCACCGCCGAGA
RNAcentral lists this ribosomal RNA (111 nucleotides) under Chloroflexota bacterium. Lineage: Bacteria; Bacillati; Chloroflexota. The record is from RNAcentral.